RNAcentral lists this ribosomal RNA (254 nucleotides) under uncultured bacterium. RNAcentral's name for it is "partial 16S ribosomal RNA". It matches the Rfam family "Bacterial small subunit ribosomal RNA", at positions 524 to 776 of the family's 1533-position model. The record is from RNAcentral.
UACGUAGGGUGCAAGCGUUGUCCGGAAUUAUUGGGCGUAAAGAGCUUGUAGGCGGUUUGUCGCGUCUGCUGUGAAAUUUCGGGGCUCAACCCCGAACUUGCAGUGGGUACGGGCAGACUAGAGUGUGGUAGGGGAGACUGGAAUUCCUGGUGUAGCGGUGAAAUGCGUUGAUAUCGUUCGGAACACCGAAAGCGAAGGCAGGUUACUGGGUGCCACCUGACACUGCUAGGACGAAAGCGUGGGGAGCGAAUGGG